AAACCAACAGGGAUUGCCUCAGUAACGGCGAGUGAAGCGGCAACAGCUCAAAUUUGAAAUCUGGCCCCAGGCCCGAGUUGUAAUUUGCAGAGGAUGCUUUUGGCGAGGUGCCUUCCGAGUUCCCUGGAACGGGACGCCAUAGAGGGUGAGAGCCCCGUACGGUUGGACACCGAGCCUUUGUAAAGCUCCUUCGACGAGUCGAGUAGUUUGGGAAUGCUGCUCAAAAUGGGAGGUAUAUUUCUUCUAAAGCUAAAUAUUGGCCAGAGACCGAUAGCGCACAAGUAGAGUGAUCGAAAGAUGAAAAGCACUUUGAAAAGAGGGUUAAACAGCACGUGAAAUUGUUAAAAGGGAAGCGCUUAUGACCAGACUUGCGCCCGGUGAAUCACCCAGCUCUCGCGGCUGGGGCACUUUGCCGGCUCAGGCCAGCAUCAGCUCGCUGUCGGGGACAAAAGCUUCGGGAACGUAGCUCUCUUCGGGGAGUGUUAUAGCCCGUUGCAUAAUACCCUUCGGCGGGCUGAGGUACGCGCUCCGCAAGGAUGCUGGCGUAAUGGACAUCAGCGAC
RNAcentral lists this ribosomal RNA (562 nucleotides) under uncultured fungus. RNAcentral's name for it is "eukaryotic LSU rRNA". It matches the Rfam family "Eukaryotic large subunit ribosomal RNA", at positions 62 to 648 of the family's 3401-position model. The record is from RNAcentral. Lineage: Eukaryota; Fungi.